This 530-nucleotide ribosomal RNA is filed under the name uncultured bacterium. Its description in RNAcentral is "bacterial SSU rRNA". It matches the Rfam family "Bacterial small subunit ribosomal RNA", at positions 193 to 713 of the family's 1533-position model. The record is from RNAcentral.
GUGACGGGGGACCGCAAGACCUCGCGCUAUUGGAGCGGCCGAUAUCAGAUUAGCUAGUUGGUGGGGUAAAAGCUCACCAAGGCGACGAUCUGUAGCUGGUCUGAGAGGACGACCAGCCACACUGGGACUGAGACACGGCCCAGACUCCUACGGGAGGCAGCAGUGGGGAAUUUUGGACAAUGGACGCAAGUCUGAUCCAGCCAUGCCGCGUGCGGGAAGAAGGCCUUCGGGUUGUAAACCGCUUUUGUCAGGGAAGAAAAGUCUGGGGCUAAUACCCCCGGACGAUGACGGUACCUGAAGAAUAAGCACCGGCUAACUACGUGCCAGCAGCCGCGGUAAUACGUAGGGUGCAAGCGUUAAUCGGAAUUACUGGGCGUAAAGCGUGCGCAGGCGGUUCUAUAAGACAGAUGUGAAAUCCCCGGGCUCAACCUGGGAACUGCAUUUGUGACUGUAGAGCUGGAGUACGGCAGAGGGGGGAUGGAAUUCCGCGUGUAGCAGUGAAAUGCGUAGAUAUGCGGAGGAACACCGAU